GAUGAACGCUGGCGGCGUGCCUAAUACAUGCAAGUCGAGCGAACGGACGAGAAGCUUGCUUCUCUGAUGUUAGCGGCGGACGGGUGAGUAACACGUGGAUAACCUACCUAUAAGACUGGGAUAACUUCGGGAAACCGGAGCUAAUACCGGAUGAUAUUUUGAACCGCAUGGUUCAAAAGUGAAAGACGGUCUUGCUGUCACUUAUAGAUGGAUCCGCGCUGCAUUAGCUAGUUGGUAAGGUAACGGCUUACCAAGGCAACGAUGCAUAGCCGACCUGAGAGGGUGAUCGGCCACACUGGAACUGAGACACGGUCCAGACUCCUACGGGAGGCAGCAGUAGGGAAUCUUCCGCAAUGGGCGAAAGCCUGACGGAGCAACUCCGCGUGAGUGAUGAAGGUCUUCGGAUCGUAAAACUCUGUUAUUAGGGAAGAACAUAUGUGUAAGUAACUGUGCACAUCUUGACGGUACCUAAUCAGAAAGCCACGGCUAACUACGUG
This 497-nucleotide ribosomal RNA is filed under the name uncultured bacterium. Its description in RNAcentral is "partial 16S ribosomal RNA". It matches the Rfam family "Bacterial small subunit ribosomal RNA", at positions 28 to 507 of the family's 1533-position model. The record is from RNAcentral.